This 460-nucleotide ribosomal RNA is filed under the name uncultured bacterium. RNAcentral describes it as "partial 16S ribosomal RNA". It matches the Rfam family "Bacterial small subunit ribosomal RNA", at positions 338 to 795 of the family's 1533-position model. The record is from RNAcentral.
CCUACGGGUGGCAGCAGUGAGGAAUAUGGGUCAAUGGGCGCGAGCCUGAACCAGCCAAGUCGCGUGAGGGAGGACGGCCCUACGGGUUGUAAACCUCUUUUGCCGGGGAGCAACGGGCGUCACGUGUGGCGCCACUGAGAGUACCCGGAGAAAAAGCAUCGGCGAACUCCGUGCCAGCAGCCGCGGUAAUACGGAGGAUGCGAGCGUUAUACGGAUGUAUUGGGUGUAAAGGGGGCGUAGGCGCGUCGUUAAGUCAGUGGUCAAAUUUGGGGGCUCAACCCCUGCCCGCCAUGGAAACUGGCGCUCUUGAGUGGAAGAGAAGUAUGCGGAAUGCGUGGUGUAGCGGUGAAAUGCAUAGAUAUCACGCAGAACCCCGAUUGCGAAGGCAGCAUGCCGGCUUCCGACUGACGCUGAAGCACGAAAGCGUGGGGAUCGAACAGGAUUAGAUACCCUUGUAGUC